UACGUAGGGGGCAAGCGUUAUCCGGAUUUACUGGGUGUAAAGGGAGCGUAGACGGCGAUGCAAGCCAGAUGUGAAAGCCCGGGGCUCAACCCCGGGACUGCAUUUGGAACUGUAUAGCUAGAGUGUCGGAGAGGCGGGCGGAAUUCCUAGUGUAGCGGUGAAAUGCGUAGAUAUUAGGAGGAACACCAGUGGCGAAGGCGGCCUGCUGGACGAUGACUGACGUUGAGGCUCGAAAGCGUGGGGAGCAAACAGG
This 253-nucleotide ribosomal RNA is filed under the name uncultured bacterium. RNAcentral describes it as "partial 16S ribosomal RNA". It matches the Rfam family "Bacterial small subunit ribosomal RNA", at positions 524 to 776 of the family's 1533-position model. The record is from RNAcentral.